UAGGGAAUCUUCGGCAAUGGACGAAAGUCUGACCGAGCAACGCCGCGUGAGUGAAGAAGGUUUUCGGAUCGUAAAACUCUGUUGUUAGAGAAGAACAAGGACGUUAGUAACUGAACGUCCCCUGACGGUAUCUAACCAGAAAGCCACGGCUAACUACGUGCCAGCAGCCGCGGUAAUACGUAGGUGGCAAGCGUUGUCCGGAUUUAUUGGGCGUAAAGCGAGCGCAGGCGGUUUCUUAAGUCUGAUGUGAAAGCCCCCGGCUCAACCGGGGAGGGUCAGUGGAAACUGGGAGACUUGAGGGCAGAGGAGGAGAGUGGAAUUCCAUGUGUAGCGGUGAAAUGCGUAGAUAGAUGGAGGAACACCGGUGGCGAAGGCGGCUCUCUGGGCUGUAACUGACGCUGAGGCUCGAAAGCGUGGGGAGCAAACAGG
This 429-nucleotide ribosomal RNA is filed under the name Gemmatimonadota bacterium. Its description in RNAcentral is "Gemmatimonadetes bacterium partial 16S ribosomal RNA". It matches the Rfam family "Bacterial small subunit ribosomal RNA", at positions 355 to 776 of the family's 1533-position model. Lineage: Bacteria; Pseudomonadati; Gemmatimonadota. The record is from RNAcentral.